GGCUUGUUGGUCUAUGAAAAGAGCUACUUCAGAGCUACCAGAACUGAAUUCUUCAAGAUUUUGGUGUGACCUGCGUGGCCAACACUGUUACAUAUCAGGUUAUCCAAACCCACAAGCAAAUCAAAUUUGCUAAAGUCUUACAGAGCACCAGAAUUGAACAUUUCUUGCA
This is a long non-coding RNA of Lagopus leucura (white-tailed ptarmigan), 169 nucleotides long. RefSeq lists it as uncharacterized. NCBI's taxonomy places the organism in Eukaryota, Metazoa, Chordata, Aves, Galliformes, Phasianidae. The transcript has 3 exons. The record is from RefSeq and is a predicted model, not a curated record.